This 506-nucleotide ribosomal RNA is filed under the name uncultured bacterium. Its description in RNAcentral is "partial 16S ribosomal RNA". It matches the Rfam family "Bacterial small subunit ribosomal RNA", at positions 29 to 523 of the family's 1533-position model. The record is from RNAcentral.
AACGAACGCUGGCGGCAGGCCUAAUACAUGCAAGUCGAACGGCAGCACAGCAGAGCUUGCUCUGUGGGUGGCGAGUGGCGGACGGGUGAGGAAUACGUGGGAAUCUGCCCAGUCGUGGGGGAUAACGUAGGGAAACUUACGCUAAUACCGCAUGCGCCCUUUGGGGGAAAGCCGGGGAUCUUCGGACCUGGCGCGAUUGGAUGAGCCCACGUCGGAUUAGCUAGUUGGAGGGGUAAAGGCCCACCAAGGCGACGAUCCGUAGCUGGUCUGAGAGGAUGAUCAGCCACAAUGGAACUGAGACACGGUCCAGACUCCUACGGGAGGCAGCAGUAGGGAAUAUUGGACAAUGGGCGCAAGCCUGAUCCAGCCAUGCCGCGUGAGUGAAGAAGGCCCUCGGGUUGUAAAGCUCUUUUGUUGGGGAAGAAAAGCCUUGGGUUAAUACCCUGAGGUUCUGACGGUACCCAAAGAAUAAGCACCGGCUAACUUCGUGCCAGCAGCCGCGGUAA